This is a long non-coding RNA of Telopea speciosissima, 394 nucleotides long. RefSeq lists it as uncharacterized. The transcript is spliced from 2 exons. The record is from RefSeq and is a predicted model, not a curated record. Lineage: Eukaryota; Viridiplantae; Streptophyta; Magnoliopsida; Proteales; Proteaceae.
UUCAUAAAGCUUUACUAAUUUUUCUUUUCUUGACAAUUCAAAUAAAUAAGAAAUGUAUUAUUGGUAUUUCUUAUUCAAGCAGAUUUGCCACCUGCUAUGGUAGGUUCCAAUCCUCUUCAUCAGACAUGUUAUACCCGGUAUGUUACUAGACCAUUCCAUGAAUCUGAUUAGAAACUCAGAACCCAAGCCAUUUGCAAAACUCAUAUAUAUGUUUCAAAUUUAAAGAAGGAUUCUAUUAAUAAUUAAAUAUCUGUGAUGUUAUUUCCAUGUUGUGCAUCUUAAGCUAACAAAACAAAGUUAUUUUCAUUAUAGAAUUAUCAUCUAUCAACUGUCAGAAAUAUUUUCACCAUAAUAUGAAAGAGACUAAUAUAUAUUAUAACGGCCAUCCAUUUCU